UACGUAGGGUGCAAGCGUUAAUCGGAAUUACUGGGCGUAAAGCGUGCGCAGGCGGUUAUGCAAGACAGGUGUGAAAUUCCCGGGCUUAACCUGGGAACCGCAUUUGUGACUGCAUAGCUGGAGUACGGCAGAGGGGGAUGGAAUUCCGCGUGUAGCAGUGAAAUGCGUAGAUAUGCGGAGGAACACCGAUGGCGAAGGCAGUCCCCUGGGCCUGUACUGACGCUCAUGCACGAAAGCGUGGGGAGCAAACAGG
This 253-nucleotide ribosomal RNA is filed under the name uncultured bacterium. Its description in RNAcentral is "partial 16S ribosomal RNA". It matches the Rfam family "Bacterial small subunit ribosomal RNA", at positions 524 to 776 of the family's 1533-position model. The record is from RNAcentral.